RNAcentral lists this ribosomal RNA (429 nucleotides) under Gemmatimonadota bacterium. RNAcentral's name for it is "Gemmatimonadetes bacterium partial 16S ribosomal RNA". It matches the Rfam family "Bacterial small subunit ribosomal RNA", at positions 355 to 776 of the family's 1533-position model. Lineage: Bacteria; Pseudomonadati; Gemmatimonadota. The record is from RNAcentral.
UAGGGAAUCUUCGGCAAUGGACGAAAGUCUGACCGAGCAACGCCGCGUGAGUGAAGAAGGUUUUCGGAUCGUAAAACUCUGUUGUUAGAGAAGAACAAGGACGUUAGUAACUGAACGUCCCCUGACGGUAUCUAACCAGAAAGCCACGGCUAACUACGUGCCAGCAGCCGCGGUAAUACGUAGGUGGCAAGCGUUGUCCGGAUUUAUUGGGCGUAAAGCGAGCGCAGGCGGUUUCUUAAGUCUGAUGUGAAAGCCCCCGGCUCAACCGGGGAGGGUAAUUGGAAACUGGGAGACUUGAGGGCAGAAGAGGAGAGUGGAAUUCCAUGUGUAGCGGUGAAAUGCGUAGAUAUAUGGAGGAACACCAGUGGCGAAGGCGGCUCUCUGGUCUGUAACUGACGCUGAGGCUCGAAAGCGUGGGGAGCAAACAGG